UAAGUGAGGGCCGGGUUUGAGGCGAUUGAUUGUUACUCAAUAGGAUAUGUUUUUCAUUCAUUUAG
This 65-nucleotide transfer RNA is filed under the name Amphiporus formidabilis. Its description in RNAcentral is "tRNA-Asn". The record is from RNAcentral. Lineage: Eukaryota; Metazoa; Nemertea; Enopla; Monostilifera; Amphiporidae.